This 1165-nucleotide ribosomal RNA is filed under the name Enterococcus faecium. RNAcentral's name for it is "bacterial SSU rRNA". It matches the Rfam family "Bacterial small subunit ribosomal RNA", at positions 41 to 1178 of the family's 1533-position model. Lineage: Bacteria; Bacillati; Bacillota; Bacilli; Lactobacillales; Enterococcaceae. The record is from RNAcentral.
GGCGUGCCUAAUACAUGCAAGUCGAACGCUUCUUUUUCCACCGGAGCUUGCUCCACCGGAAAAAGAGGAGUGGCGAACGGGUGAGUAACACGUGGGUAACCUGCCCAUCAGAAGGGGAUAACACUUGGAAACAGGUGCUAAUACCGUAUAACAAUCAAAACCGCAUGGUUUUGAUUUGAAAGGCGCUUUCGGGUGUCGCUGAUGGAUGGACCCGCGGUGCAUUAGCUAGUUGGUGAGGUAACGGCUCACCAAGGCCACGAUGCAUAGCCGACCUGAGAGGGUGAUCGGCCACAUUGGGACUGAGACACGGCCCAAACUCCUACGGGAGGCAGCAGUAGGGAAUCUUCGGCAAUGGACGAAAGUCUGACCGAGCAACGCCGCGUGAGUGAAGAAGGUUUUCGGAUCGUAAAACUCUGUUGUUAGAGAAGAACAAGGAUGAGAGUAACUGUUCAUCCCUUGACGGUAUCUAACCAGAAAGCCACGGCUAACUACGUGCCAGCAGCCGCGGUAAUACGUAGGUGGCAAGCGUUGUCCGGAUUUAUUGGGCGUAAAGCGAGCGCAGGCGGUUUCUUAAGUCUGAUGUGAAAGCCCCCGGCUCAACCGGGGAGGGUCAUUGGAAACUGGGAGACUUGAGUGCAGAAGAGGAGAGUGGAAUUCCAUGUGUAGCGGUGAAAUGCGUAGAUAUAUGGAGGAACACCAGUGGCGAAGGCGGCUCUCUGGUCUGUAACUGACGCUGAGGCUCGAAAGCGUGGGGAGCAAACAGGAUUAGAUACCCUGGUAGUCCACGCCGUAAACGAUGAGUGCUAAGUGUUGGAGGGUUUCCGCCCUUCAGUGCUGCAGCUAACGCAUUAAGCACUCCGCCUGGGGAGUACGACCGCAAGGUUGAAACUCAAAGGAAUUGACGGGGGCCCGCACAAGCGGUGGAGCAUGUGGUUUAAUUCGAAGCAACGCGAAGAACCUUACCAGGUCUUGACAUCCUUUGACCACUCUAGAGAUAGAGCUUCCCCUUCGGGGGCAAAGUGACAGGUGGUGCAUGGUUGUCGUCAGCUCGUGUCGUGAGAUGUUGGGUUAAGUCCCGCAACGAGCGCAACCCUUAUUGUUAGUUGCCAUCAUUCAGUUGGGCACUCUAGCAAGACUGCCGGUGACAAACCGGAGGAAGGUGGGG